This 184-nucleotide ribosomal RNA is filed under the name uncultured Geopsychrobacter sp. RNAcentral's name for it is "partial 16S ribosomal RNA". It matches the Rfam family "Bacterial small subunit ribosomal RNA", at positions 1366 to 1502 of the family's 1533-position model. The record is from RNAcentral. Lineage: Bacteria; Pseudomonadati; Thermodesulfobacteriota; Desulfuromonadia; Desulfuromonadales; Geopsychrobacteraceae.
AUAUGUACCCGGGCCUUGUACACACCGCCCGUCACACCCUGGGAAUUGGUUUCGCCCGAAGCAUCGGACCAAUGAUCACCCAUGACUUCUGUGUACCACUAGUGCCACAAAGGCUUUUGGUGGUCUUAUUGGCGCAUACCACGGUGGGGUCUUCGACUGGGGUGAAGUCGUAACAAGGUAACCA